This 1407-nucleotide ribosomal RNA is filed under the name Triticum aestivum (bread wheat). Its description in RNAcentral is "partial small subunit ribosomal RNA". Lineage: Eukaryota; Viridiplantae; Streptophyta; Magnoliopsida; Poales; Poaceae. The record is from RNAcentral.
AUGUCAUCGUCGCGGUACCGGAGUCACAACCGCCCAGCGCCAGCGGCCUUGGCUACGCGCAACAGCACGCGCCGACAGGGCAGGGUCUCCGAUGCCGACGCCGCCAUCACCAGGGACGCAUCCCCGUGGGCGUCGCUGCACCAGGAGCUAUUGGACCUGAUCGCGUGGCGGGUGUUGGCGGUCGACUUCCGGGGCUACGUCCGGUUCCACGCCGUGUGCGCGUACUGGCGCUCCAGCACCACUUGCCCGCGCGGUCGCGGCAUCGUCGACCCGCGCUUCCACCCACCGCAGUGGAUGAUGCUGCCCGAGGGCCACGGCCUCUACCCGGGCCACGACAAGCUGCAGGGGCUCGUCCGCUUCUUCAACCUCUCAACCGGGGCGUUCGUCCGCGUCCACCUCCCGCUCUUGAGUGACCACAGCGUCCUCGACUCAAUCGACGGUAUCCUGCUGCUGCAGCGGGACCACGACACCGUCGUCCGCCUCCUCCACCCAUUCACCGGCGACAUCCUCGGCUUCCCGCCUCUCAAAACCCUCCUGAGUUCUGUGAUCGGCUCGACAUCGUUGGAAAGCAAGUGACACAAGUGGUGCAAUAGUAUCAAAAAUAUCAAUGCUGCCGCCAUGAACGUGGGCGCGGAUGAAGUCGUCUCGCUCAUGAUUUUGGGGGCUUACGGUUGGAGUAAUGUGGCCUUAGCUACCUCCGGGCAACGGCAAUGGAGUGUAUCAAGCUCGCUCAACCGCCGAAGCUGUAGUCCAUUCUCGUUCCAAGGCAAGAUAUAUACGGUGCGCUAUAACAAAACUUUCACCGAAUCAGAGGUCCUACAGAUCGGCCCACCUCAGCUAGAAGGGGUGGAACCCUAUCUGCCACCACCAAACGUGAUUGCCAUAUGUCCGGCGAGCACACCCGGCACCACUUAUUUGUACCAUCUGGUAGAAUGCGACCAAGUGAUUCUGGUGGUCAGUAUCUCUACUUUUAAUUGAGCAGUUGCACGGGCGUUUUUCUAGUAAGCCAUAAUUAUACUAAGAAGAGCCGUCCCGACGACAUGCAUUGGUGGCAACGCCCUCUUCAUGGAAGGCAGGAUGUUGUGCGUCAGUUCUAAGGCGUUUCCUACCAUCAUGGGUGACACCAUUGUCUUUCUCGAUUGUCAGAAACAUUAUCUUGCUCAAUACCACCUCGGCAGCGGCACAUUGUCGCCAGCAAUAGAUAUAUCUAUGUAUGAUAUGUCAGGUCCUUGUAGCAUCAUCUGUCAUAUAUACAUUCCACCAUUAUUCACCCUGAUGAUAUCGUUCUUUUCCCCACAAUAUUUUGUGCUUCUAGGUAAACUCAUUGUUUUCCCCUCUAUCUAUAGGAACAAAGGAGAAAUAGCAUGUCCGGGGCAGGAGGACAAGUGGCAGGUGAAGGAAAAGUGA